RNAcentral lists this small RNA (530 nucleotides) under uncultured Basidiomycota. RNAcentral describes it as "eukaryotic LSU rRNA". The stretch from base 147 to 300 matches the Rfam family "5.8S ribosomal RNA". The record is from RNAcentral. Lineage: Eukaryota; Fungi; Basidiomycota.
UCCGUAGGUGAACCUGCGGAAGGAUCAUUAGUGAAUUGCUCUUUGAGCGUUAACUACAUCCAUCUACACCUGUGAACUGUUGAUCAACUUCGGUUGAUUGCUUUACAAACAUUGUGUAAUGAACGUCAUGUUAUUAUAACAAAAAUAACUUUCAACAACGGAUCUCUUGGCUCUCGCAUCGAUGAAGAACGCAGCGAAAUGCGAUAAGUAAUGUGAAUUGCAGAAUUCAGUGAAUCAUCGAAUCUUUGAACGCAACUUGCGCUCUCUGGUAUUCCGGAGAGCAUGCCUGUUUGAGUAUCAUGAAAUCUCAACCAUUAGGGUUUCUUAAUGGCUUGGAUUUGGGCGUUGCCAGUAGCCUGGCUCGCCUUAAAAGAGUUAGCGUGUUUAACUUGUCGUAUCUGGCGUAAUAAGUUUCGCUGGAGUAGACUUGAGAAGUGCGCUUCUAAUCGUCUUCGGACAAUUCUUGAACUCUGGUCUCAAAUCAGGUAGGACUACCCGCUGAACUUAAGCAUAUCAAUAAGCGGAGGAAA